RNAcentral lists this ribosomal RNA (506 nucleotides) under uncultured bacterium. Its description in RNAcentral is "partial 16S ribosomal RNA". It matches the Rfam family "Bacterial small subunit ribosomal RNA", at positions 28 to 523 of the family's 1533-position model. The record is from RNAcentral.
GAUGAACGCUAGCUACAGGCUUAACACAUGCAAGUCGAGGGGUAACGAGAGGGAAGCUUGCUUUCCUUGUCGACGACCGGCGCACGGGUGAGUAACGCGUAUCCAACCUGCCCCCAACUAGGGAAUAACCUUGCGAAAGUAAGACUAAUACCCUAUAAUUUCCUCAGAUGUCAUCUGACGAGGAAUAAAGAUUUAUCGGUUGUGGAUGGGGAUGCGUCUGAUUAGCUUGUUGGCGGGGUAACGGCCCACCAAGGCAACGAUCAGUAGGGGUUCUGAGAGGACGGUACCCCACAUUGGAACUGAGACACGGUCCAAACUCCUACGGGAGGCAGCAGUGAGGAAUAUUGGUCAAUGGGCGGAAGCCUGAACCAGCCAAGUAGCGUGCAGGAUGACGGCCCUAUGGGUUGUAAACUGCUUUUAUACAGGAAUAAAGUUAGCCACGUGUGGUUAUUUGUAGGUACUGUAUGAAUAAGGACCGGCUAAUUCCGUGCCAGCAGCCGCAGUAA